GGAGAGAUGCCGGAGCGGUUGAACGGGACGGUCUCGAAAACCGUUGUAGGUCUCGUACCUACCGUGGGUUCGAAUCCCACUCUCUCCGCUA
Molecule: transfer RNA, 91 nt
Filed under: Anaerolineaceae bacterium
Lineage: Bacteria; Bacillati; Chloroflexota; Anaerolineae; Anaerolineales; Anaerolineaceae
Description: tRNA-Ser
Rfam family: tRNA
About the family: Transfer RNA (tRNA) molecules are approximately 80 nucleotides in length. Their secondary structure includes four short double-helical elements and three loops (D, anti-codon, and T loops).
Source: RNAcentral